GUUGGCCGAAUCCGAAGCGGACGAGGAGCUAGAUUGUGAUCCUAGUGUUAGCGGGUUCAAGUCCCGUCGGUCACCCCA
Molecule: transfer RNA, 78 nt
Filed under: Acaryochloris sp. CCMEE 5410
Lineage: Bacteria; Bacillati; Cyanobacteriota; Cyanophyceae; Acaryochloridales; Acaryochloridaceae
Description: tRNA-His
Rfam family: tRNA
About the family: Transfer RNA (tRNA) molecules are approximately 80 nucleotides in length. Their secondary structure includes four short double-helical elements and three loops (D, anti-codon, and T loops).
Source: RNAcentral